This 465-nucleotide ribosomal RNA is filed under the name uncultured bacterium. Its description in RNAcentral is "partial 16S ribosomal RNA". It matches the Rfam family "Bacterial small subunit ribosomal RNA", at positions 28 to 507 of the family's 1533-position model. The record is from RNAcentral.
GACGAACGCUGGCGGCGUGCUUAACACAUGCAAGUCGAACGGAAAGGCCCCUUUGGGGGUACUCGAGUGGCGAACGGGUGCGUAACACGUGAGUAACCUGCCCUUGACUUCGGGAUAACUUCAGGAAACUGGGGCUAAUACCGGAUAGGAAUCCUUGCUGCAUGGUGGGGGUUGGAAAGCUUCGGCGGUUUUGGAUGGACUCGCGGCUUAUCAGCUUGUUGGUGGGGUAGUGGCUUACCAAGGCUUUGACGGGUAGCCGGCCUGAGAGGGCGACCGGCCACACUGGGACUGAGAUACGGCCCCGACUCCUACGGGAGGCAGAAGGGGGGAAUAUUGCACAAUGGGCGGAAGGCUGAUGCAGAAACGCCGCGGGCGGGAUGACGGUCUUCGGGUUGUAAAACGCUUUCAGCAGGAGCGAAGCUUGUGGUGACGGUACCUGCAGAAGAAGCACCGGCUAACUACGUG